This 72-nucleotide transfer RNA is filed under the name Nitrosomonas ureae. RNAcentral describes it as "tRNA-Gly". It matches the Rfam family "tRNA". From Rfam's summary of the family: Transfer RNA (tRNA) molecules are approximately 80 nucleotides in length. Lineage: Bacteria; Pseudomonadati; Pseudomonadota; Betaproteobacteria; Nitrosomonadales; Nitrosomonadaceae. RNAcentral also lists the same sequence under 6 other names. The record is from RNAcentral.
GCGGGAGUCGCCAAGUGGUAAGGCGUCAGCCUUCCAAGCUGAUAUUCGUGGGUUCGAAUCCCAUCUCCCGCU